AGCGAACGCUGGCGGCAGGCCUAACACAUGCAAGUCGAACGAACUCUUCGGAGUUAGUGGCGGACGGGUGAGUAACACGUGGGAACGUGCCUUUAGGUUCGGAAUAACUCAGGGAAACUUGUGCUAAUACCGAAUGUGCCCUUCGGGGGAAAGAUUUAUCGCCUUUAGAGCGGCCCGCGUCUGAUUAGCUAGUUGGUGAGGUAAAGGCUAACCAAGGCGACGAUCAGUAGCUGGUCUGAGAGGAUGAGCAGCCACAUUGGGACUGAGACACGGCCCAAACUCCUACGGGAGGCAGCAGUGGGGAAUCUUGCGCAAUGGGCGAAAGCCUGACGCAGCCAUGCCGCGUGAAUGAUGAAGGUCUUAGGAUUGUAAAAUUCUUUCACCGGGGACGAUAAUGACGGUACCCGGAGAAGAAGCCCCGGCUAACUUCGUGCCAGCCGCCGCGGUAA
Molecule: ribosomal RNA, 449 nt
Filed under: uncultured bacterium
Lineage: Bacteria
Description: partial 16S ribosomal RNA
Rfam family: Bacterial small subunit ribosomal RNA
Source: RNAcentral